Bos taurus (domestic cattle) is the source of this 2357-nucleotide long non-coding RNA. Lineage: Eukaryota; Metazoa; Chordata; Mammalia; Artiodactyla; Bovidae. The record is from Ensembl.
AUUGCAUGUACAUAUAUCAACCAUGGUGUGGGGUGGGAGCCCAGGACUUGGGGCAGAGGGCAUUACACUGCUCAGUCCCCCGGCAGACUGUGGCCAGAUAGGGUGGUGGCCUCCGGAGCUGAGUCCAUUGCCCUGGGAAGACUCCAGGGCUGCUCAGGAAGGCCCAUCUGGGGUCUUGGCAACUUUUCUUUGCAGAAGGGGCCCUUCUUGGGCAUCUGAAAGCGUCUAGCUGGCAGGUUUCUUAAAGAGCUGCAACUACAGUCACUGGAACGCUGACUCUGGGUUGAUUCAUGGAUCCUUCCUCUUAGCUCUGCCAGUGCCUAAGGGAAAGGCCUGGCCCAGAGCACUAUGAAGGCUCCUUCUUCAUGCACACUUAGCCUUCCAGACUGCCCUCCAGGACCCAGAGCAUAUACUACAAGCUCCUAAUAGAGUCCUCCAACCCAGCAUCUCUUAGACACAGCCAACUUCAUUCCAUCAGGAGGCCACUCCGACUUCUCUCUCAUAUCAAGGGACCCAAGGGGCACCCAGGCACAGGGGCAUGCUCACGGAGCACCCAGUAGUCGGAGCACCAAGACCUGGCUCUUCACACCCGUCAAAAUAUGAAACUGCCUGCCACCCAGCUCCAGAGGAGGACAGUGAGGUUCAGCGAAGAGACUUCUUUCUGCCCCUCCCAUUUCGUGUCCAGAUGAAUGAACCCACAAGAACUUGGCUGGCUGGCUCUGAAUUCCGACUUCCCUGGGAAAGCACAGAACGUUACCUACACUGUUUAGCUGCUCCAGAAAGAGUUCUGCCAGGAGCAGAGGGGUGUAUCAGGGAGUUGUCUGAACAACCUCAGUGGCGUGACUCCAUUGAUAUGAGGAUCUGCCCUCGGACGGGAGGCGUCCUCUCUCUGAGGCAGGAAGGCCGUCUGAGGAGCCGACGGAGACACAGCCCUCCUCUCCCCAGUGCUGGGGAAGGAGAUUCUCUCUCUUGAACCCACAUCCACUUUUCCCACGGGACACAGGUGCCUCCACACCUCCCCCUGCCCCCCGCUCCCCACAGUCACUGGGCCCAUGAAAGAGGAGAAAUCUGGGAGAGGAGCUGGGCAAGUUGUAAAAAGAAGUUGUCUGUAGAAUUCCCCCUCUUCCUGCCUUGGGGCAUCCAGGCUUCAGGAACAUGGGGUGUCCUGUGAGGCUCUUGGUGUUCAUGUCCCUGGCCCACUGCUGCCUGACUUCUGACAAAGACCCCCUCACCCAUCUCAGGGCCUCUCCAGCCCCAUGCCUGCCUUGGCCUGUCCUCCUACAGCCUCAUGAAAAAGCCUGUCCUGCCUUCCCUUGUACUGAUCCUUGGCCUGGAAUGCUGACCCCACCCUGGCCUUUCGGCCCUCUGCCAAGUCCCGCUGCGCCCUCUCGCCUCAGUUCCCUGCUUCUACCCCACUUGACUGUGACCACCCCUCAUCCCAUCCCCACCUUGAAAUCCCCUUUGCGCCCAACACACAUUACUAAUGGGACCACUUUUGGUCUCGGGUAUAAGUAUCCGGCAGCUGUCCUGAGUUUUGCACUUGACUGAGGCCAUUGAGGUAGAGGCAACCUCGCUGUGUUUUUCCCCAAUGAGGAACAGAGUAGUUGCUCAUCAGUGUGUGCUGAAGGAACACUGAUGGACUCAGGUUAGCCCACCUCCACACUGCCCACCAAAUGAGAAGUGUUUGCCCGUGGGAACAGGGUGGUGGGUCCCUAGAACUAGGUGGACUUCCAGGGCGUAUUCAGUGGGCCGGCUGGGCACUCAGCACUGUUUAGGGCAUUGUUUGCAUGGGACAUGCACUCUGAGUUCCAUACAGCCUGGCUUCAGAUAAGCUCACAGGAACAAGUUGUCUUCUUUGAACUUGGCGACUGUCUGCAUUUGCCCAUAAGCAGGCCCAGGAGCCCAGUCUAAAGACUGGUCAAGAUGGGAAGACCAUAAGCAUUCCUGAAGCAGGAAGGAGCAGACAUGAAACAGAAAGUCCCCCAGCUCCUUGUCCUUUGAAAUUAUAAAGACCUGAAACCAUCUCCCCAGCCCACCCCUCCAGCACAACGAAACCCUAGCAAUUCCACUGUUGCCAGGAUUACAGCUGUCUACUUCACUGUGUCCUAAACAGAUUUCUCUGAACCUUGAAGGUCAACACUGCAGCACUUCCUGGAUAAAAAAUAAAAAAGUCGUUAGCUCCCAUUAGCCAAGGCCCACCUCUGGGCAUAUGGUAAGGACUGCAUCACUCUCCCCUUCCCUUUUAACCUGCAUCAAUCUUUAUGCAAUUAACCCCAUCUAACUUGACAUUUACUUGGUCAGGCGUGUCUACUGAACAACCCCCUGACUCACUGGAUCCUUGUUUCUGUUGAUCCUUA